GGAGAGGUGGCUGAGCGGUUUAAAGCGUCCCCCUGCUAAGGAGAUAAACUAUAACAGUUUCGUGGGUUCAAAUCCCAUCCUCUCCU
This 86-nucleotide transfer RNA is filed under the name Candidatus Organicella extenuata. Its description in RNAcentral is "tRNA-Ser". It matches the Rfam family "tRNA". From Rfam's summary of the family: Transfer RNA (tRNA) molecules are approximately 80 nucleotides in length. Their secondary structure includes four short double-helical elements and three loops (D, anti-codon, and T loops). Lineage: Bacteria; Pseudomonadati; Verrucomicrobiota. The record is from RNAcentral.